Molecule: ribosomal RNA, 480 nt
Filed under: uncultured bacterium
Lineage: Bacteria
Description: partial 16S ribosomal RNA
Rfam family: Bacterial small subunit ribosomal RNA
Source: RNAcentral
GAUGAACGCUGGCGGCGUGCUUAACACAUGCCAGUCGAACGGAACUACUCCAAUGAGAGUCUUCGGAAAGGAUUUGGUUUAGUUUAGUGGCGGACGGGUGAGUAACGCGUGGGUAACCUGCCCUAUACAGGGGGAUAACAGUUGGAAACGACUGUUAAUACCGCAUAAGCGCACAGGAGCGCAUGCUCCGGUGUGAAAAACUCCGGUGGUAUAGGAUGGACCCGCGUCUGAUUAGCUGGUUGGCGGGGUAACGGCCCACCAAGGCGACGAUCAGUAGCCGGGCUGAGAGGGUGAACGGCCACAUUGGGACUGAGACACGGCCCAAACUCCUACGGGAGGCAGCAGUGGGGAAUAUUGCACAACGGGGGAAACCCUGAUGCAGCGACGCCGCGUGAGCGAAGAAGUAUCUCGGGAUGUAAAGCUCUAUCAGCAGGGAAGAAAAUGACGGUACCUGACGAAGAAGCCCCGGCUAACUACGUG